This 1437-nucleotide long non-coding RNA is filed under the name Corvus moneduloides (New Caledonian crow). Its description in RNAcentral is "lncRNA (ENSCMUG00000019335.1)". The record is from RNAcentral. Lineage: Eukaryota; Metazoa; Chordata; Aves; Passeriformes; Corvidae.
GAGCAGCCCUAAAGCUCCGUGCCUCUGGCUGCUCCCCACUCCUGCCGCACACCGCUGGAGCCAGCCUGGGCAGUGGACAGCAGCGGUCACUGCGACAUCCUGUAAUAACACUUCAAAAAACAAACAAAAAACCAAUUGUUCAGCUUUCAUUACUUCAUAAAUAAAAAUUAAUUUAUAUUUAAUGUCCGGUGGCAGCAUGAAUUGCUGUUAAUUCGUUUCACAGCGUUUGAGUCCUAGACAAAAACUAGGCUGCUCCCCUCUCCUGUCUGACAUUUUCCUUUUAAACAUGAAAUGUUUUUCCUUUCAUAUCUUGCAUAAGAUAAUUGUUUGUGCAUUAAAUGGCUUAGAUAUAUGUAAAUAGGUGAUAGAGUAGUUAUUUUUGGUGGGCUUAAAGAGAUUUUUAUCUGCAUCUAUGAAUGUUGAUUACUAUUGCUUUUACUUACAUUAAUUAAGGGAUGCAAUCACAGAAAUAUUUUGUUUUCAUUGAAAUGGACUGAGCUGACAAAUAGCUACAAAGCUGAAACUUAAUUGUGCAGAUUCCUGUAAGUUCUGUAGGUUGAUUUGUUUUUCCUUACAUAAAAACUUUGAGAAAAAUUUCCUCUGUUUUUUCAGUUACAGGUCUUCAAAGUUACUCUCAAAUUUGGUUUUAGGCACCUUCAAUUAAGCUUGCUAACAUUAAUUUUAACAGUGUUAAGGCAUGCUUGAGAAAUAGAUGGGCUUUGGUUUGUAACAUUAUGUACUUGAUGCUGAAAGAAAUAACAUCCUUCUGUAACGAUGCAUAAUCAGGCAGGUUUUUAGCUCUGGAACUACAAAGAUUUGAAUUCAGAAAGCAGAUACACAGGACUGUUUGCUUACUGUCUUGGUCAAAACCCAGUUUCAGUUUGCAAGCAUGUCCACAUCUGCAAAAACGUGUACUGAACCAAAUGUGGAAGACUGAAGCACUUCAUGAGAGCAAUUUCUCAUUAGACUCCAAGAACUCACUGUCCAGGUCCAGUGGCUGCAAUAGUUUUUAUAGGCUUCUGACUUUUUAAACAGUCAUAAGAACAGGACAUACUGGAUUUUUUUUCUUCUUUGCCAUCUUAAAAGCUGCACUUGCAGGGAUAGGACAUGUACCUAACAGAAGCGGCUUGUACAUGAGGUUGCUUAAGGGAUUAUCACCCUGUUCAAAUUUCUGAAGGUAAGAUAUUGUUUAUUUUACUUACUAAAAUGUACAACACUGAAUUUCCAUAGCUUUGGCUCUUGGAAGUUGAUUAAAUAAAAUGUUGUAUAUAUUCCAAGUGGCAUCCUACUAGAAAGAAUGAAUGACAUUAAUGGACAAGUUUAAAACAAAUUUUAAAAGGAAACCAUUGUGCUGAGUGGCAGGAAAAUUUUCCUGAAUGUUAAAUACUGUUGAGUGCAGAAGGUGUCUGUAAAAUUACUUCCGCUUAAAGGAAAAGA